UGUUGAUGUGCAUGGGCAGUGGGGCAAGUAUUUGGACUGGAGACUGCCCGGGGUAUACAGCUGGAGCCCCGGGGGAGGAAAGCCCAGCCCUCAGAGGAAGAAAUGCUUCCAAAGGAAAAUGAAACUGCCAUCUUUGCACCAGCUCAGUCCUCAUCCCAGAGGGGCCUGUUCCAACCGCGUUCUGGAUGCACUGGGAAGAACACAACAUCACAUUUGUGUCAUUCCUGCCACAAAUGUAUAACUGAAACUACUCAAGAGGAAACAUCAGACAAUCUCUAACUGAAAAGCAUUCUGUAAGACAGCUGACCUGUAUUCUUCAAAAAUGCCAAUAUGGAAGACAAAGGCUAAGCAACUGUUGCAGAUUCAAGGUGACUGAAGAGAUGUGACAAAUGGAUGCAACAUAUGAUCUGGGAUUUUCUUUGGCUUUAAAGGAUAUUAUUAGGACAAUCAAUGAAAUCUGGGUAAGGUCUGUCCAUUAGACAAUGAUAUUGUAUGAAUGUUAAUUUCCUGAAUUUGAUCAUCACACUAUGGUUAAUAAGGACAAUGUUCUAAUUUUUAAUAAAUACACACUAAAAUAUGCAAAGGGGUGUCAUGUUUCAAACAGUUCAGAAAAAAUAUUGUGUGGAUGAAGUUGUAGGUAUAGGUAUGGUAGAUACAGAGAUAGAGGCCAAGGCAGAGUGGUAAAAGUUUAACAUCUGGGAAAUCCGGGUGAAAGGUCUAUGGGGAUUCUUUGCACUAUUCUUGUAACUUUUCUAUGAGUAUGAACACAUAUCAGAAGUUAAAAGAAGAGAAGAGAGCCAUUAGGCUCCAGUCCCUGUCUGGCCCUGAGUGAGUGUGUGAUUGAUUAAGUCUCUCCACCCUCUGGAUUUCUUCCUGCCUCUUCCAGCCCUUCCAGUUGGAGUCCUCAUGGCUUGGUCUCUCUUAUUCCAGAUCCUCCCAAAUAAUUUCCAGAUUUACACCUUCUCUCCUCUUCUUGUGUCUAUG
Long non-coding RNA from Manis pentadactyla (Chinese pangolin), 984 nucleotides. RefSeq lists it as uncharacterized. The transcript has 3 exons. NCBI's taxonomy places the organism in Eukaryota, Metazoa, Chordata, Mammalia, Pholidota, Manidae. The record is from RefSeq and is a predicted model, not a curated record.